This 1858-nucleotide long non-coding RNA is filed under the name Aquilegia coerulea. Its description in RNAcentral is "long non-coding RNA (ACOE_LNC000781)". The record is from RNAcentral. Lineage: Eukaryota; Viridiplantae; Streptophyta; Magnoliopsida; Ranunculales; Ranunculaceae.
UUUGAAUGAUAUUGAGACCUUCUGUGAACCAUGGCUCAGUGACAUUGAACUUGAAUGUACAACUGAAGUUGUACACCGUCAGGUCUCGCACCAUGGGAUCGAAUCCCCCAAAAGGCUUACACACAACACACUUACAAAGCAUACAAAUUACAUUAUGCAGCCAAAAACAAAACCAACAAGCAACACCAUUCCAUAAACUUCAUCCACAGCCAAUCAGAAAACUGCAAAGUCUACCCUUGAGCAUGCAUAGUUCCAAGUCAUUCAACAGAUCCAUGAAUCUGAUGUCACCCCUUUGCUCCAGACUAACUCUGUCACAACAUAACUCAGAACUGCAUUGUCAGUAAACUUGCAGUCUUUUCCCUAAAGAUAACAUCAUUCCAAAUGAACCAAACCACGGCAUAAGGAAGAAUGGACCAGACUUUCCCGCAAAAAUCUCCUUUGUUCAACUCCGACCAUUCUUCCAUACGCUUUUUCAAAGAUCUCAAGCUGCUGAAUAUUAAAAUCAAAUACAUUAAGAAAUUUAACAAAAAUAAAAGUAAAGAAGAAACCUCAGCAAGCCAGUGCGUUGCUACUCCUACUGCUGCUACUGUAAUUACCUGGAAGGCUCAAACCUUUAAUUUACUGUUGUUGCUUCCUGCUGUUGUCGUACACCUAUCAUCUUGCUUCCAUAAGUUUGUGCCACCCAGUGAGGAGACAUGCAACCCUUAUACUUUGUAUCAACUUAAUUGCAAACUGGCCUAUGUUCAGCUAGUUCUAAAUUACAGUCUUUACUUGCACCACAAUAUUUAUAUUCUCCAGGUCUCUGAAAUAAAACUAACCCGAAGGCAAACAUAAUGAAUAAAACUCCCAUACAACAAUGAAUAAAACUGAUACUUCCUGAAACGCAAUGAAAACAAACUACCAUAAAAUGGAUUGCGGACUAUUACCUAAAGAGUUGUCCUAACUUGCAACAUGUUAAUGUGAUGCCUAUGUACUCGAAAACAUCUACAGUAUUUAGACAAAAUUUAACUCCAAUACUAGGGUCUAAAUUCUCUUCACUACUCAAUUCCAAUAAUUAUUAACUAAUAUGUUAUUGUAGUAAGGAUACCAAUCAAAGCAGACUAUUUAAUAUAACCUGAUAUAGGAUGUAUCUUGAUAUCCAGUGAGCAAAAUAGGGACAAUAUAUCAAGGUAAAAAAUGUUAUGACUUCAUACCAGUAUUGUAGAUGAGAAUUGAUCGAAGAUAAAAACAGUUGAUCAUCCACCUCUUUGUGAUCAAACGGAUGUAGCUGUAUAGAGAUAACUUAAGAUAAAGGAACUUGGUUAAUGGUAUUUUUUUUUUUCUUUAUAAGGAAAAAUCUUGUUAAUUUGUAAAAAGGAUUACAAACUCUAGACAGCUUAUACAAUUUGGUGAAGGUCUAGAAAGGAUCAUUUCUGUAUUUUUCCAUAUAACCCAAAGAACCGCCGCAGGUAGUAGAUUCAAAAUCCACUAAGUAAUUUCUGGUCCUUGCUUCUCCAGCCACGCUACCAACUGAACUGUCUCUAUACAAAAAAUCUUUGAGUAAAUGUCUGGGGAGAAAUAAAAUCGUCCAAAUCUACAAAUUUUUUGUACAAUGCAGAAAAGUGAGUAGUGGAUUCAUUUGACAUCCCACACAUGUAACAGACUGGUGGCAGCGCUUUACCCAUUUUAAUGAGUUUAAUGUACAAAGAAGUAUCUUGAUAUUGAGGGGGGAAGGUCUGUCUCAAACAAUUUUAGUUGGGAAGUGUUGUAGUUGAGUAGAUGGGCCUGUGUUUAGUUUGCACAAUUUGCCAUACAUAGAUUUGACUGAAAACUGACCUGUUCACGACUAAUCUCUAUGUCCAUAAGUCAUCACCCUCCU